This 376-nucleotide unclassified non-coding RNA is filed under the name uncultured fungus. RNAcentral describes it as "sequence contains ITS1". The stretch from base 1 to 100 matches the Rfam family "5.8S ribosomal RNA", at positions 50 to 154 of the family's 154-position model. Lineage: Eukaryota; Fungi. The record is from RNAcentral.
GAAGUGCGAAAAGUGUCAUGACUUGCAGAUUCCCGAGAGCUGACAAACUUCUGAAUGCAAAUGGCGGCCGUCAAAAACGGCCAUGUAUGGCAGAGUGUAGUUGUUCAGACUAAUCACACCCCUUUUCAUCAUACGUUGGUGGCUAGGCUAGGUAUCUGCGUUUACGACUUUUGAUAAGCAAUUAUCAAAGGCGUGAACGUGAAACAUCGGGCCCUUCAUUUCAGGUUGGUGGGAGGUUAUUAGAGAGAGCAAUCUCUCUAAUAAUUCUUUCUCCAUCCUGGAAUGGGGUGACUUCGGAAGCAAUUUUUGAAGUUUCACAGCGCUCGCAACUAUAGGUAAUCUACCUCUGCCAUGCAGGAGAACCCGCUGAACUUAA